RNAcentral lists this ribosomal RNA (546 nucleotides) under Salmonella enterica subsp. enterica serovar Muenchen. RNAcentral's name for it is "partial 23S ribosomal RNA". It matches the Rfam family "Bacterial large subunit ribosomal RNA", at positions 1 to 586 of the family's 2925-position model. RNAcentral also lists the same sequence under 1 other name. Lineage: Bacteria; Pseudomonadati; Pseudomonadota; Gammaproteobacteria; Enterobacterales; Enterobacteriaceae. The record is from RNAcentral.
GGUUAAGCGACUAAGCGUACACGGUGGAUGCCCUGGCAGUCAGAGGCGAUGAAGGGCGUGCUAAUCUGCGAUAAGCGCCGGUAAGGUGAUAUGAACCGUUAUAACCGGCGAUACCCGAAUGGGGAAACCCAGUGUGAUUCGUCACACUAUCAUUAACUGAAUCCAUAGGUUAAUGAGGCGAACCGGGGGAACUGAAACAUCUAAGUACCCCGAGGAAAAGAAAUCAACCGAGAUUCCCCCAGUAGCGGCGAGCGAACGGGGAGGAGCCCAGAGCCUGAAUCAGCAUGUGUGUUAGUGGAAGCGUCUGGAAAGGCGCGCGAUACAGGGUGACAGCCCCGUACACAAAAGCGUAUGUGCUGUGAGCUCGAUGAGUAGGGCGGGACACGUGGUAUCCUGUCUGAAUAUGGGGGGACCAUCCUCCAAGGCUAAAUACUCCUGACUGACCGAUAGUGAACCAGUACCGUGAGGGAAAGGCGAAAAGAACCCCGGCGAGGGGAGUGAAAAAGAACCUGAAACCGUGUACGUACAAGCAGUGGGAGCACCCUU